Non-coding RNA from Myotis davidii, 69 nucleotides. NCBI's taxonomy places the organism in Eukaryota, Metazoa, Chordata, Mammalia, Chiroptera, Vespertilionidae. The record is from Rfam.
GGUGGUUCUCAGGCCCUGGAAUCAGGCUCCCUCCUCUCUGGUUCUGGGGUGAGUUACCCAAGAACCACU